UACGAAGGGGGCUAGCGUUGCUCGGAAUCACUGGGCGUAAAGCGCACGUAGGCGGAUUGUUAAGUCAGGGGUGAAAUCCUGGAGCUCAACUCCAGAACUGCCUUUGAUACUGGCGAUCUUGAGUCCGGGAGAGGUGAGUGGAACUGCGAGUGUAGAGGUGAAAUUCGUAGAUAUUCGCAAGAACACCAGUGGCGAAGGCGGCUCACUGGCCCGGUACUGACGCUGAGGUGCGAAAGCGUGGGGAGCAAACAGGG
Molecule: ribosomal RNA, 254 nt
Filed under: uncultured bacterium
Lineage: Bacteria
Description: partial 16S ribosomal RNA
Rfam family: Bacterial small subunit ribosomal RNA
Source: RNAcentral